GUGUAAAUCAUUCAAGCAAUCAGAGAUGUGCAGAUCAUGCGGAGAAGUAUCAACAGGUGGUGCUCUAAGCCUUUCCCAUUGCACACCAAUUUCCAUGGCAACUGCUCUCCUUCCAUGUGGCGGGGACCCGGCUUUGAAAUGUGUCAGUCUGGGGAUCAUAGCAAAGCUCAGCAUCAUAGCAAGAUAACAUGAACCCAACAUGCCCAUUCUGCAGAACACAAGCAGAAAAUUUACAAAGCUUCACAUAUAAAUNNNNNNNNNNNNNGAUAGAAUCAACAGGCAAAGAACUGCUAUGCUUGAUAAUAUUAUUGUUAUUAGUAUCUUUU
Molecule: unclassified non-coding RNA, 326 nt
Filed under: Hevea brasiliensis (rubber tree)
Lineage: Eukaryota; Viridiplantae; Streptophyta; Magnoliopsida; Malpighiales; Euphorbiaceae
Source: RNAcentral